UGGGGAAUUUUGGACAAUGGGCGAAAGCCUGAUCCAGCAAUGCCGCGUGUGUGAAGAAGGCCUUCGGGUUGUAAAGCACUUUUGUCCGGAAAGAAAUCCUUGGCUCUAAUACAGUCGGGGGAUGACGGUACCGGAAGAAUAAGCACCGGCUAACUACGUGCCAGCAGCCGCGGUAAUACGUAGGGUGCAAGCGUUAAUCGGAAUUACUGGGCGUAAAGCGUGCGCAGGCGGUUUGCUAAGACCGAUGUGAAAUCCCCGGGCUCAACCUGGGAACUGCAUCGGUGACUGGCAGGCUAGAGUAUGGCAGAGGGGGGUAGAAUUCCACGUGUAGCAGUGAAAUGCGUAGAGAUGUGGAGGAAUACCGAUGGCGAAGGCAGCCCCCUGGGCCAAUACUGACGCUCAUGCACGAAAGCGUGGGGAGCAAACAGGAUUAGAUACCCUGGUAGUCCACGCCCUAAACGAUGUCAACUAGUUGUUGGGGAUUCAUUUCCUUAGUAACGUAGCUAACGCGUGAAGUUGACCGCCUGGGGAGUACGGUCGCAAGAUUAAAACUCAAAUGAAUUGACGGGGUCAUAGCUGUUUCCU
This 585-nucleotide ribosomal RNA is filed under the name uncultured bacterium. RNAcentral describes it as "partial 16S ribosomal RNA". It matches the Rfam family "Bacterial small subunit ribosomal RNA", at positions 355 to 1375 of the family's 1533-position model. The record is from RNAcentral.